RNAcentral lists this ribosomal RNA (257 nucleotides) under uncultured Pseudomonas sp. Its description in RNAcentral is "partial 16S ribosomal RNA". It matches the Rfam family "Bacterial small subunit ribosomal RNA", at positions 96 to 356 of the family's 1533-position model. Lineage: Bacteria; Pseudomonadati; Pseudomonadota; Gammaproteobacteria; Pseudomonadales; Pseudomonadaceae. The record is from RNAcentral.
CGGCGGACGGGUGAGUAAUGCCUAGGAAUCUGCCUGGUAGUGGGGGACAACGUUUCGAAAGGAACGCUAAUACCGCAUACGUCCUACGGGAGAAAGCAGGGGACCUUCGGGCCUUGCGCUAUCAGAUGAGCCUAGGUCGGAUUAGCUAGUUGGUGAGGUAAUGGCUCACCAAGGCGACGAUCCGUAACUGGUCUGAGAGGAUGAUCAGUCACACUGGAAUUGAGACACGGUCCAGACUCCUACGGGAGGCAGCAGCG